Molecule: ribosomal RNA, 465 nt
Filed under: uncultured bacterium
Lineage: Bacteria
Description: bacterial SSU rRNA
Rfam family: Bacterial small subunit ribosomal RNA
Source: RNAcentral
AUUGAACGCUGGCGGCGUGCCUAACACAUGCAAGUCGAGCGGUAACAGGUGUAGCAAUACAUGCUGACGAGCGGCGGACGGGUGAGUAACGCUUGGGAAUCUGCCUAUUAGUGGGGGACAACCCGGGGAAACUCGGGCUAAUACCGCAUACGCUCUACGGAGGAAAGCCGGGGACCGCAAGGCCUGGCGCUAAUAGAUGAGCCCAAGUCGGAUUAGCUAGUUGGUAGGGUAANGGCCUACCAAGGCGACGAUCCGUAACUGGUCUGAGAGGACGACCAGUCACACCGGAACUGAGACACGGUCCGGACUCCUACGGGAGGCAGCAGUGGGGAAUAUUGGACAAUGGGCGAAAGCCUGAUCCAGCGACGCCGCGUGGGUGAAGAAGGCCUGCGGGUUGUAAAGCCCUUUCAGUGGGGAAGAAAGCCUCGACCUAACACGUCGGGGUCUUGACGUAACCCAUAGAAG